Molecule: ribosomal RNA, 377 nt
Filed under: uncultured bacterium
Lineage: Bacteria
Description: bacterial SSU rRNA
Rfam family: Bacterial small subunit ribosomal RNA
Source: RNAcentral
AUACGGAGGGUGCGAGCGUUGUUCGGAAUCAUUGGGCGUAAAGCGCGCGUAGGCGGCUCGGUAAGUCUCUUGUGAAAGCCCGGGGCUCAACCCCGGGAGGCCAGGGGAUACUGUCGGGCUGGAGACAGGCAGAGGCUGGUGGAAUUCCGGGUGUAGCGGUGGAAUGCGUAGAGAUCCGGAGGAACAUCGGUGGCGAAGGCGGCCGGCUGGGCCUGUUCUGACGCUGAGGCGCGAAAGCGUGGGGAGCGAACAGGAUUAGAUACCCUGGUAGUCCACGCCGUAAACGAUGGGCACUAGAUGCUGGUGGGAUCGACCCCAUCGGUGUCGCAGCUAACGCAUUAAGUGCCCCGCCUGGGGAGUACGGCCGCAAGGCUGAA